RNAcentral lists this unclassified non-coding RNA (1194 nucleotides) under Hevea brasiliensis (rubber tree). The record is from RNAcentral. Lineage: Eukaryota; Viridiplantae; Streptophyta; Magnoliopsida; Malpighiales; Euphorbiaceae.
GAGUCAGCGAGUCAGUCUUUGCGGGCAGAAGCAGGAACAAGUCCACAGUCAACUCCAGUCUCCACACGCCAAUCAAGAAGACAUUAUUUUUCCUUUCCCACUAAAAUCUCUCUCCAAAUCUGUCCUUUUUCUACUCCCAUCACCCUCGCUUGUUCUUCGCUCUGUUCAGCUUCAUUCCUCUUCUGUUCUGUUUCUUUUCCCUUGUUCCUUCCCACCUGAACUCGACCACUCAAAUAUAUAAUUUUUUUUAUUAUUAUUUUUGUAUGCUUCCUUGCAUAGUUACUCAUACAUAGAAAAAGAAGUUCAAGAAAAUCCCCCCAAGCUCGCGCUAAAAUGACAAGGUAUGUGUGUGGCACUCGCACCUCUGUGUUUUUGUCUUUGUCUUUGUCUUUGUCCUUUUUGUCCUUCUCACGGUCCCUCAACAGGACCACAUAAGGUCGUUCACCAACCAUCUCCACUUGGCACACAGAACGAGCAGCCCGCAUGAAAAUCACUGGAUCCCGCUGAAUAACAGAAGUCAAAUUUAACAGGAAAUUACGAGGUGUGAGCCUUCCACUUGACUGUCUAUUAGAAGCAGAAACAACAUUAUGCCGUAUCUCUGCUUCCAUAGCUUGCUGCAGAGUCUGGGGAUCCUCAAGAAUAUGUCUUAUUAUAGUAGCGGCAAUGUUGUCAAACCCAAUAAACAAGCUGCUGGUUGGCAAGGAAAGCAGCAACUGCAAACCACCAGCAUCCAGAAAGUUAACAGCAACAGAGUGAGUUCUUGUAAGAGUUGCACACAGCUGCAACACAGCAUGCAUUGUUUCCGAGGGAAGCUGGUUCCUCAUACAACCACAAGCUAUUUCAACAAGCUGCUUCUGCUCUUGACCAUCCAGAUAUUUUGGAGACAAAGAAGACUGCAACUUAUUAUACUUAUCCUCGUUGAUCGAAACUGAUUUCUGUGUAGCAUCAUCUCCCUUCAGCUGUUCUAGUAUAUCAGCAUUCACCUUCUGAUCCACUUGAGCAAGUCGAUCAAUUGCAACAAAAGCUGCUGUCACCCAUUUGGGAACUUUCUCCCUAUCAAAUGUACUGGAAAUCCAUUGUGAAAGAAGAUCAGAUGAGACACUCACCAAACCAGUCUUUGCAGCUAUCUCUCUGGCAUCAGUGUCUUCAUUAAGAAUCAGAGCAAGAACAUGAAAGAGAUUAAAAAGAAUGCUG